This 505-nucleotide ribosomal RNA is filed under the name uncultured Gammaproteobacteria bacterium. Its description in RNAcentral is "bacterial SSU rRNA". It matches the Rfam family "Bacterial small subunit ribosomal RNA", at positions 235 to 732 of the family's 1533-position model. Lineage: Bacteria; Pseudomonadati; Pseudomonadota; Gammaproteobacteria. The record is from RNAcentral.
GUUCGAUUAGCUAGUUGCGGGGUAAAGGCCCACCAAGGCGACGAUCGAUAGUUGGUCUGAGAGGAUGAUCAGCCACACUGGGACUGAGACACGGCCCAGACUCUUACGGGAGACAGCAGUAGGGAAUAUUGGGACAAUGGGCGCAAGCCUGAUCCAGCCAUGCCGCGUGAGUGAAGAAGGCCCUCGGGUUGUAAAGCUCUUUUGUCCGGGAAGAAAAGCAUCGGGCUAAUACCUCGGUGUUCUGACGGUACCGGAAGAAUAAGCACCGGCUAACUUCGUGCCAGCAGCCGCGGUAAUACGAAGGGUGCAAGCGUUACUCGGAAUUACUGGGCGUAAAGCGUGCGUAGGUGGUUUGUUAAGUCUGAUGUGAAAGCUCUGGGCUCAACCUGGGAAUGGCAUUGGAAACUGGCGGACUCGAGUGCGGUAGAGGGGUGUGGAAUUCCCGGUGUAGCAGUGAAAUGCGUAGAGAUCGGGAGGAACACCAGUGGCGAAGGCGACACCCUGG